UCCUGAUAGCUUAGUUGGUAAAGAAUCCGCCUGCAAUGCAGGAGACCCUGGUUCAAUUCCUGGGUUGGGAG
Molecule: transfer RNA, 71 nt
Filed under: Ovis aries (sheep)
Lineage: Eukaryota; Metazoa; Chordata; Mammalia; Artiodactyla; Bovidae
Rfam family: tRNA
About the family: Transfer RNA (tRNA) molecules are approximately 80 nucleotides in length.
Source: Rfam by way of RNAcentral